AAAUUCCUUGUCGGGUAAGUUCCGACCCGCACGAAAGGCGUAACGAUUUGGGACGCUGUCUCAACAACAGACUCGGUGAAAUUGUAAUUCCGGUGAAGAUGCCGGAUACCUGCGACAGGACGGAAAGACCCCCAUGGAGCUUUACUGUAGCUUAGCAUUGGAUUUAGGUAGUAUAUGUACAGGAUAGGUGGGAGGCUUUGAAAGUAGGACGCCAGUUUUGCUGGAGCCCAUCCUUGGGGAUACCACCCUUGUACUAUCUGGAUUCUAACCACGAUGAGUGAAUCCUCAUCUGGGGACACUGCUUGGCGGGCAGUUUGACUGGGGCGGUCGCCUCCCAAAAUGUAACGGAGGCGCUCAAAGGUUCCCUCAGCACGGUCGGAAAUCGUGCGUAGAGUGUAAAGG
RNAcentral lists this ribosomal RNA (402 nucleotides) under uncultured bacterium. Its description in RNAcentral is "bacterial LSU rRNA". It matches the Rfam family "Bacterial large subunit ribosomal RNA", at positions 1962 to 2357 of the family's 2925-position model. The record is from RNAcentral.